This 305-nucleotide ribosomal RNA is filed under the name uncultured bacterium. Its description in RNAcentral is "partial 16S ribosomal RNA". It matches the Rfam family "Bacterial small subunit ribosomal RNA", at positions 508 to 808 of the family's 1533-position model. The record is from RNAcentral.
ACAGCACAGCCGCGGUAAUACGUAGGUGGCAAGCGUUGUCCGGAAUUAUUGGGCGUAAAGGGCUCACAGGCGGUUUCUUAAGUCUGAUGUGAAAGCCCCCGGCUCAACCGGGGAGGGUCAUUGGAAACCGGGAAACCUGAGUGCAGAAGAGGAGAGUGGAAUUCCACGUGUAGCGGUGAAAUGCGUAGAGAUGUGGAGGAACACCAGUGGCGAGGGCGACUCUCUGGUCUGUAACUGACGCUCAUGCAGGAAAGCGUGGGGAGCAAACAGGAUUAGAUACCCGCGUAGUCCCUGUCUCUUAUACC